ACCAAAAACAUUUUUCAAUAAAGUAUAAAAGUACACCUAUAUCAUCCUAUGUGCAUUCGUAGACACUAGACAAAGCACCUUAUGCUGAACAUUCCAAUGUUCAUAACCUACACCGAUAAGCACACUUUAUCUGUUCAAUUUUUUUUUUUCCAACCAUCACAUACAAAUCCAACUCAAUGUAACAAUGACCAACUUUCCUGCCUCUCUACGAGUUGCAUUAACAUUCAUUAGAACCAAACUGAACAAAUGACUUAGCCAAGAGAAAUGUAAGAAACUUCAAAAUCCUAACUUCCCGUAAACAAACACAAUAAACCCAAAACGUUCCUUUGUUUCUACUCCUUCAGUUUCUCACUAACCAAACACCACAUUCAUCAUUCAAUGACCGAAACAAACAGAAGAGUUGUAAGAUAGUUAAGCUUAAAACCCUAAUUUUCAUUGAACAAACACCAUAAGCACAAAAUUUUGCAUUAAACACCACUUUCAUCAUUCAAUCA
RNAcentral lists this unclassified non-coding RNA (494 nucleotides) under Hevea brasiliensis (rubber tree). Lineage: Eukaryota; Viridiplantae; Streptophyta; Magnoliopsida; Malpighiales; Euphorbiaceae. The record is from RNAcentral.